This 909-nucleotide ribosomal RNA is filed under the name uncultured bacterium. Its description in RNAcentral is "bacterial SSU rRNA". It matches the Rfam family "Bacterial small subunit ribosomal RNA", at positions 9 to 873 of the family's 1533-position model. The record is from RNAcentral.
GAGUUUGAUCCUGGCUCAGCAUUGAACGCUGGCGGCAGGCCUAACACAUGCAAGUCGAGCGGAAACGAGUUAACUGAACCUUCGGGGAACGUUAACGGCGUCGAGCGGCGGACGGGUGAGUAAUGCCUGGGAAAUUGCCCUGAUGUGGGGGAUAACCAUUGGAAACGAUGGCUAAUACCGCAUAAUAGCUUCGGCUCAAAGAGGGGGACCUUCGGGCCUCUCGCGUCAGGAUAUGCCCAGGUGGGAUUAGCUAGUUGGUGAGGUAAUGGCUCACCAAGGCGACGAUCCCUAGCUGGUCUGAGAGGAUGAUCAGCCACACUGGAACUGAGACACGGUCCAGACUCCUACGGGAGGCAGCAGUGGGGAAUAUUGCACAAUGGGCGCAAGCCUGAUGCAGCCAUGCCGCGUGUAUGAAGAAGGCCUUCGGGUUGUAAAGUACUUUCAGCAGUGAGGAAGGUGGGUAUGUUAAUAGCAUACUCAUUUGACGUUAGCUGCAGAAGAAGCACCGGCUAACUCCGUGCCAGCAGCCGCGGUAAUACGGAGGGUGCGAGCGUUAAUCGGAAUUACUGGGCGUAAAGCGCAUGCAGGUGGUUUGUUAAGUCAGAUGUGAAAGCCCGGGGCUCAACCUCGGAAUUGCAUUUGAAACUGGCAAACUAGAGUACUGUAGAGGGGGGUAGAAUUUCAGGUGUAGCGGUGAAAUGCGUAGAGAUCUGAAGGAAUACCGGUGGCGAAGGCGGCCCCCUGGACAGAUACUGACACUCAGAUGCGAAAGCGUGGGGGAGCAAACAGGAUUAGAUACCCUGGGAAGUCCACGCCGUAAACCGAUGUCUACUUUGGAGGUUGGGGCCUUUGAAGCCCGUGGCUUUUUCGGAAGCUAAACGCGUUAAAGGAAACCCGCCCGGGGGGAAG